Molecule: ribosomal RNA, 374 nt
Filed under: uncultured organism
Description: partial 16S ribosomal RNA
Rfam family: Bacterial small subunit ribosomal RNA
Source: RNAcentral
GAAGGGUGGCUAGCGUUAUUCGGUAUUACUGGGCUUAAAGCGUGUGUAGGCGGAAAGGUAAGCGUCUUGUGAAAUCCCUCGGCUUAACCGAGGAAUUGCUUGACGUACUGCCUUUCUUGAGGCAGGUAGGGGUGCAUGGAACUCUUGGUGGAGCGGUGGAAUGCGUAGAUAUCAAGAGGAACGCCAGUGGUGAAAACGGUGCACUGGGCCUGUCCUGACGCUCAGACACGAAAGCGUGGGGAGCGAACGGGAUUAGAUACCCCGGUAGUCCACGCUGUAAACGAUGUCUACUAGGUUCCGCGGGUUCUGACGCCGGCGGGGCCGAAGCAAAAGUGCUAAGUAGACCGCCUGGGGAGUACGGUCGCAAAGGCUAA